ACAUGGAUAACCGUGGUAAUUCUAGAGCUAAUACAUGCUGUUAAGCCCAACUUAUGGAAGGGCCGUAUUUAUUAGAUAACAGACCAAUAUUCUUCGUGUCUAUUGUGGUGAAUCAUAGUAACUAAUCGGAUCGUAUGGGCUAGUCCCUCGACAAACCAUUCAAGUUUCUGCCCCAUCAGCUUUCGAUGGUAGUGUAUUGGACUACCAUGGCUUUCACGGGUAACGGAGGAUUAGGGUUCGAUUCCGGAGAGGGAGCCUGAGAAACGGCUACCACAUCUAAGGAAGGCAGCAGGCGCGUAAAUUACCCAAUUCUGACUCAGAGAGGUAGUGACAAGAAAUAACGGGCAGGGACAUACGUCCCUGGACUGCAAUGAACCGAAUCUACACACCUUAGUAAGUAACAAUU
RNAcentral lists this ribosomal RNA (406 nucleotides) under uncultured picoeukaryote. RNAcentral's name for it is "SSU rRNA". It matches the Rfam family "Eukaryotic small subunit ribosomal RNA", at positions 137 to 549 of the family's 1831-position model. The record is from RNAcentral.